RNAcentral lists this ribosomal RNA (504 nucleotides) under uncultured bacterium. RNAcentral's name for it is "partial 16S ribosomal RNA". It matches the Rfam family "Bacterial small subunit ribosomal RNA", at positions 30 to 523 of the family's 1533-position model. The record is from RNAcentral.
AUUGAACGCUGGCGGCAGGCCUAACACAUGCAAGUCGAGCGGUAGCACAGAGAGCUUGCUCUCGGGUGACGAGCGGCGGACGGGUGAGUAAUGUCCGGGAAACUGCCUGAUGGAGGGGGAUAACUACUGGAAACGGUAGCUAAUACCGCAUAACGUCGCAAGACCAAAGUGGGGGACCUUCGGGCCUCAUGCCAUCAGAUGUGCCCAGAUGGGAUUAGCUAGUAGGUGGGGUAACGGCUCACCUAGGCGACGAUCCCUAGCUGGUCUGAGAGGAUGACCAGCCACACUGGAACUGAGACACGGUCCAGACUCCUACGGGAGGCAGCAGUGGGGAAUAUUGCACAAUGGGCGCAAGCCUGAUGCAGCCAUGCCGCGUGUAUGAAGAAGGCCUUCGGGUUGUAAAGUACUUUCAGCGGGGAGGAAGGUGCUGAGGUUAAUAACCUCAGCAAUUGACGUUACCCGCAGAAGAAGCACCGGCUAACUCCGUGCCAGCCGCCGCGGUAA